GCAUGAACUUAGCUUGCUAAGUUUGAUGGCGACCGGCGCACGGGUGAGUAACACGUAUCCAACCUGCCGAUGACUCGGGGAUAGCCUUUCGAAAGAAAGAUUAAUACCCGAUGGCAUAGUUCUUCCGCAUGGUAGAACUAUUAAAGAAUUUCGGUCAUCGAUGGGGAUGCGUUCCAUUAGGUUGUUGGCGGGGUAACGGCCCACCAAGCCUUCGAUGGAUAGGGGUUCUGAGAGGAAGGUCCCCCACAUUGGAACUGAGACACGGUCCAAACUCCUACGGGAGGCAGCAGUGAGGAAUAUUGGUCAAUGGACGAGAGUCUGAACCAGCCAAGUAGCGUGAAGGAUGACUGCCCUAUGGGUUGUAAACUUCUUUUAUACGGGAAUAAAGUGAGGCACGUGUGCCUUUUUGUAUGUACCGUAUGAAUAAGGAUCGGCUAACUCCGUGCCAGCAGCCGCGGUAAUACGGAGGAUCCGAGCGUUAUCCGGAUUUAUUGGGUUUAAAGGGAGCGUAGGCGGACGCUUAAGUCAGUUGUGAAAGUUUGCGGCUCAACCGUAAAAUUGCAGUUGAUACUGGGUGUCUUGAGUACAGUAGAGGCAGGCGGAAUUCGUGGUGUAGCGGUGAAAUGCUUAGAUAUCACGAAGAACUCCGAUUGCGAAGGCAGCUUGCUGGACUGUAACUGACGCUGAUGCUCGAAAGUGUGGGUAUCAAA
This 710-nucleotide ribosomal RNA is filed under the name uncultured Bacteroidales bacterium. RNAcentral's name for it is "bacterial SSU rRNA". It matches the Rfam family "Bacterial small subunit ribosomal RNA", at positions 69 to 772 of the family's 1533-position model. The record is from RNAcentral. Lineage: Bacteria; Pseudomonadati; Bacteroidota; Bacteroidia; Bacteroidales.